Molecule: ribosomal RNA, 253 nt
Filed under: uncultured bacterium
Lineage: Bacteria
Description: partial 16S ribosomal RNA
Rfam family: Bacterial small subunit ribosomal RNA
Source: RNAcentral
UACGUAGGGUGCAAGCGUUGUCCGGAAUUAUUGGGCGUAAAGAGCUCGUAGGUGGCUUGUCGCGUCGGGUGUGAAAGCUUGGGGCUUAACUCCAGGUCUGCAUUCGAUACGGGCUGGCUAGAGGUAGGUAGGGGAGAACGGAAUUCCUGGUGUAGCGGUGAAAUGCGCAGAUAUCAGGAGGAACACCGGUGGCGAAGGCGGUUCUCUGGGCCUUACCUGACGCUGAGGAGCGAAAGCGUGGGGAGCGAACAGG